GCUUACGGCCAUACCAGCCUGGGUACGCCCGAUCUCCUCUGAUCUCGGAAGCUAAGCAGGGUCGGGCCUGGUUAGUACUUGGAUGGGAGACCGCCUGGGAAUACCAGGUGCUGUAAGCA
RNAcentral lists this ribosomal RNA (119 nucleotides) under Salmo salar (Atlantic salmon). The record is from RNAcentral. Lineage: Eukaryota; Metazoa; Chordata; Actinopteri; Salmoniformes; Salmonidae.